RNAcentral lists this non-coding RNA (716 nucleotides) under Cochlostyla marinduquensis. The record is from RNAcentral. Lineage: Eukaryota; Metazoa; Mollusca; Gastropoda; Stylommatophora; Camaenidae.
AAAUUAGUUAUGGUUUAUUAUUAUAUUAUAUAAAAUACUUAUGGAAUUUAAUGAGAAUUUCCAGGUAAGAAACUUUAUUAUAAUUAUGAAAAUAAGAAUAAGUUAUUAUAAUACUAGUUGACAAAUAAAGUGCCAGCAGUCGCGGUUAUACUUUAAUCAAAAUAAUUUAAAUAAGUUAAAUACACAUAUAUUAUAAUAAAACUCUUGUAGUGGUAAAAUAUACACAGUUAUAUAAAAUUACUAUUAUAAUUUAAUAAAUAAAUACAAAAAAAUAAACAAGGAUUAGAUACCCUUUUAUACUGUACUCAAUAUGUAUUAACUGAGGACUAAAGCUUUAAGAGAGCUAAAACUUAAAUAACAUGGCGGUAAUAGAAAUUUAGGGGAACUUACCAUAUAAUUUGAUAACCCCCAAGGAAAUUAACUUUAAUUUAAAUUUUGUAUGCCGUCGUCGAGAUAAAAUUUUAAAUAUUAUCGAAAUUAAUAAAUUUAUUAAACUUGACAGAUCAAGGUGCAAACUAAACUAAAGAUAUUGGCGAGUUACAAUUUAAUAUGUAAACGAAUUAGGAUAAUCGUAAUAACCUAUAAAGAAGGACUUAACAGUAAAAUUCAUUAAGUAUAAAUAUUGAAGAAUAAUUCUAUUGUGUACAAAUCGCCCGUCACUCUUGAGGAAACUUAAGAUAAGUCGUAACAUAGUAGGCGUAGCGGAAGCUGCACCU